UGCCAAAGACUGAAGGGCAUUGAUUGA
This 27-nucleotide non-coding RNA is filed under the name Mus musculus (house mouse). Lineage: Eukaryota; Metazoa; Chordata; Mammalia; Rodentia; Muridae. The record is from RNAcentral.